This 85-nucleotide transfer RNA is filed under the name Magnetococcales bacterium. Its description in RNAcentral is "tRNA-Leu". It matches the Rfam family "tRNA". From Rfam's summary of the family: Transfer RNA (tRNA) molecules are approximately 80 nucleotides in length. The record is from RNAcentral. Lineage: Bacteria; Pseudomonadati; Pseudomonadota; Magnetococcia; Magnetococcales.
GCCUGCGUGGCGGAACUGGUAGACGCUGCGGACUUAAAAUCCGUUUCUUUCGAGAGUCCCGGUUCGAUUCCGGGCGCGGGCACCA